UCUGGUGUCCGAGUCGUAAAGGAACCACACCAUCCAUUCCGAUCUUGAUGGUUAAACUCUACUGCGGUGACGAUACUAUAGGGGAGGUCUUGCGGGAAAAUAGUUCGACACCAGAA
Molecule: ribosomal RNA, 116 nt
Filed under: Nicotiana sylvestris (wood tobacco)
Lineage: Eukaryota; Viridiplantae; Streptophyta; Magnoliopsida; Solanales; Solanaceae
Source: RNAcentral